Oncorhynchus gorbuscha (pink salmon) is the source of this 669-nucleotide long non-coding RNA. RefSeq lists it as uncharacterized. The record is from RefSeq and is a predicted model, not a curated record. Lineage: Eukaryota; Metazoa; Chordata; Actinopteri; Salmoniformes; Salmonidae. The transcript is spliced from 4 exons.
CGAGGAGAGAUUUUUCAUCGAAGUAGAGAAGUACUCACUUUUAUAUGACUCGUCUUAAAAAUUCUACAAGGAUCCAACUAAUAAAAAUGCGUUAUGGAGAGAGAUUGCAAAGACCAUGCACAUUUCAGAUGGUGUUAAAGACGCCACUGCUCCUGUGUUGCAGGAAGUGCUGUGUGCAAUCAUCUGGUGGCCCUUCUUUACCAGACAGCGCACUACUCUCAACUAAACAUUCCUGCUGCACCACCAGUUCACAGCUGCACAGACACAGAACAGCGUUGGCACGAGCCAAGAACACUUCCAGGUCCGGUUGAUGGGAUAGAGUUCCGUAAACUUACUAACUCGUGUGCUGAUGGAAUAAGAAGUUGUCUCUACAAAGCACUCCAUGGAUAUAUGCCUGACAUGGACCUUCUCCACGUCUCAGAAACAUAUGCCAACUUUUCUCCACUUACUUCCCCUCUUGUGAAAACAAUGGAAAUGUCAGCUGAUGUGCCCCUGGUUGAGUCCUCCUUUGGGCCAGUGCAAGCUGGCAGUGUGCUGUCCUAUCAACUUCCACAGCCAAAGACCCGUGAAAUUGUGAAAAUUGCCGAUGCCCCUUCUCCACUAAUACUUCUGUUAGAUGGCAACAGGCUUCAGUCUUCCCAGUGUGCUUACAUCCUUAGCCAUCAGGGG